This 69-nucleotide antisense RNA is filed under the name Amycolatopsis sp. YIM 10. RNAcentral describes it as "ASpks TB sRNA". It matches the Rfam family "ASpks TB sRNA". Lineage: Bacteria; Bacillati; Actinomycetota; Actinomycetes; Pseudonocardiales; Pseudonocardiaceae. The record is from Rfam by way of RNAcentral.
CUUCACCGAACCGAGCAGCAGCGGGCGGUCGCGAUCCUGGCCGUACGUGGCCAGCAACGCCUGCGCUUC